Centrocercus urophasianus (Greater sage-grouse) is the source of this 7235-nucleotide RNA transcript. RefSeq lists it as uncharacterized. NCBI's taxonomy places the organism in Eukaryota, Metazoa, Chordata, Aves, Galliformes, Phasianidae. The transcript is spliced from 14 exons. The record is from RefSeq and is a predicted model, not a curated record.
AUCAGAUUCCUUCGUGGCAUCCUCAGACAGGACUGUCUGUCAGCUCUGACAUCUUGAGGACUGUCUUUGACCUCUGAAAUCUGUCUGCUUUGAGGCAGUAGUAAUUCUCAGUCUGUUCCUCCUCCUAAUUCUUGCAAGGCUCUUCCCGUGUUUACAAUAUCAGAUUGUUUGAGGGCUAUGGAAGCCAGAGGACCAUCGCCAUGUGGAAGAACCCUGCCUAACUGACAUCCAGAACUCGGAGUGGCUCCAGUAGAAGAUGCUACAGCCUUGACCUGCCUCCAUCAGGCCUUGCCUUGUGUCAUGGCUUUGAGAGCUCGUGCACAACUGGCAGUGUCCACACCGGAGUGAAGCCUUCACAUUUUGGAAUACCCAGAGUGCCUUAAGGUGCUGUUGAUUAAACCCUCCUAUGGAAUCACCACGAAAGUAGCUCUGCCACUCCUAUGGCCUUUGGUCUGGCUUUGUCAUCGGCUGGGAACUGAACGCCUGAGCCGUUUCUCUUCGUAUUUCUCUCGUCAAUUUGCUGUAGCAUUGUGAUGGAUGAACUGGUUCACACCUUAGCCCAGGAGCCUUCAUCCUUGGCUGGAAGUUUUAUUGAAACAUCAGCACAAAUAAUAAUCCAUUGCUAAAUUCCGAGUGCCUGAGGUACCUAUCCUUGUCUGAUCUUGAAGAGCUUCCACCAUCAGAAGGGUCUCUAGAAAUGCUGUUUCAUUGGUCAGCUGUUGCAAUUGGUCAGGGAAGUAUACGGUAUUUUUUCCUUCAUUUACUCAAACAUCAGUUCUUUAUGGCUCUCUUUUUAUGUUUUUUAUGGUUCUCUCUGAGUUUUCAGAUUUCACAACAUUCUCUAAUCAUCGCACUACAAAAAGCUGAACCUACACAAGUACACCUGAAUGCCCCAUGUGGUUUAAGGAGUACAAAAUGCUUGUUUCAAGCCAUUGGUGCUGAGCUUCAGGACAUGGAUCUGUGGCUGUCCUCAAGAGGAUUGCACCUGCUGAUGUGCUGAGGGUGUGAAGCAGCUGAGAAGCUUCUGGGGGACAGCCUGGGGCGCUGCAAACAUCUGCAGAGGCACCUCUGUUAUCAGCACAUAUCUCCCCUCUGCAUGGCACCCUGCUUCCCAAAUCCAGGAUCAUCAGGAAUGUGUAUUGUGUAGCUUUAGCUCUGCUUUGGGGGAAAGUUCCUCCAAAGCUGGCAUGUGGGCUGAGCACUGGAUCUGCCAGGAGCACUGGUUGGAACCUUUCCCAGCAUAAAGGAAGAUGCUUGGAGGGAUUCCAGAAGGUAUAUUGGGCACCUGCAGAGUUUGCCAUGGACCAAGAUGCCUGACAGAAUGGUUGUUGCCUGGUACUUCUGGAGGCAUUAACAUCUGAUGCAGAGAGGAUAAUGUGCCCAUCAGCUCUUGUGUUGCAUCUCAGCACACAGCCACAUCUCAGACAUAUGGAGCAGCCUCUCUGGGGCAGGAGGGACCAGGGAACAGACCUCAGUGAUGGCUGCCUCACCCACAAGCAGGACGGGGCACUCGUGCUUCUACAGCAAUACAUGGAAGAUUUUGUUUGUUUCAUUCUCCCGUGAGGCUGUUAAAUGAGCCUGGUCCUGUGUUCAUUGAAUCUCAAUGCACGUGGCAACCUGUGACCAGCUGUGAGACCGUGUGGGCAAGGACUGGUUUGUCUGCUGAAGAACUUUUCCUUGUUCCUUCAUUUGGCUCUUGAUGAGGUGAGAGCUGCAGCGAUGGCACCUAUAGUCUCUUGUUUGCAAUAACAGCACUGCAGUGCAGUCUGGUGAGGAGGACCGUAAGGCUCUACGUGGCCAUCUGCACUGACACAGCAGCACCACGAUGUCGAAAUACAAACGGGAAAGACUUCACAUCUGCCUGAUGCUACUUUUUUUUCUGGAUGAGGAGGUGAGCUCGAGCCUCUCCCUGGAAGAGAGGGCUGGCAGCAGCGCUGAGCUGGGAUGUGGAGGCUGCACAGGGGCCCAUUGGCUGAAGGUCAAGACUUCUCCUUGAGGGCACCUGAACCGGAGUUACGUUCCCUAUCUUUGCAGAACCCAUGCUGUCUGCCUCUGGGAGGCAGCAAGUGGAAGAUCCUGGCUUGUGGAGGACUAAUGCUUCCAGGCAAGCAAAGCCUGCAGCAUCCUUUUGUUCUUGGUGAAUUCAUUGGGCAAUGCAUUGACUCAGCCUUUUACUCAAAGACACUGUGCCUAUACCAGCAGAGCCACCUGAGCCAUCGGCCAUCACCCAGCAGGGAAGGGAUCCCGGGCAGCUUGUCAGGCAUGUCGUGGUGGUCCUGUGUGUGUUCUGCCUCCCAAGAGGAAGAAAUUUGGGUUGCAGUACCAGAGCUGUGGGACGAGCUUCACUCAAGCCAGCAAGCAGUGCCCACCUAGUCCCUGGAGAGCUGGUAAGCAGUUAGCACUUGCUAAGCGGAUAUUGCUUCAUCUUCUGUUAUUACUUGUGUUUCCUAGGUCAAACUGACACCAACUGGUCUGCUAGAGCCACAUCAGAGAACCUAUCCAGAGUCUCUGAAGAGCUGCUAAACUGUAAGGAUGUGCAAAACCCAUAUUCCUAUGACUGCCAGUUUGCUAGGGCAAACUGACACUGAUCUGCAGAGAGGAGCUGUGGGCACACCUCUGUUUUGAUUUGGAGGAAUAUUCUCUAUCACUCCAGGCCUUAAUUCCUCAUCAAUGAUGAACUUGUGGUGGAAUCCACUGACUGUAGCUCUGUGAUUUGGUGUGGUGGAAAAGCACAGGCCCCAAGGCACGCUGGAAUUGUCAUGUUCUGCUAUAAGAACCAAAGAUACAAAAGUGAUAUUAUUGGCAGCUUAGCUGACUGGGUGAGCCCUACAAAAUUCCUUUGAUGUUUUAGUCUUAUUUGAUAGGAAUAGGGCCAGAUUAAAAAAACUCCAGUCUUCCAAAUCCUAAAAUGCAAAAACAAAGCGUUGGACCCUUUCAUUUCCUUCACAGUUCAGAGUCUGCAAGGAAAAUGAUUUGAAGCAUUUCCUUCUUCUAACACCAAAACAGAGCCUGGCUUUUACAUAAAGAGAAAACUGUUUCUGUUGAGUGCUGAGAGCUGUGCUUUUCUAUCACACCGUUUCACAGAACAAGAAGAUACAAAUCAACGGGGAAGUGUGAAGUCGCAGUACUAUAAUUUCUGUAUCUGCUUUUCCUAUGAUUAUGAUAGGACACAUCUCUUACUUGCCCCUAUAAGAUUUAUUUUUUUCUCCCCAGCCCUUUUCUUAUAUUUCUGUAGUCCCCUGAAUGUAAUCUGCUGCCCUGAGUCAUAUUAAAAAAAAUCACAUUGAGUUGAAAGGAAAACGUUUGGUUCUUCAAUGUGUGGAAAAAUAUUUCUGUUGUUUAAAUGCAAGUAAUUAAACUGAGGACUUUCUCCAAAGUAAACCUUGACAAUCUAACAACCAUCUUUGGCUUUUGCGCCGCAUGGAGUUUCUUUUACAUUUUUAAAUGCAUUCCUUGUUUCAGUAAAUGACACCAGGCUCACCAGCAGUGACUGAGUGAUUAGUUUAUCAUCCUCUUAGUGCAGCCAUCUAGAUCUUUAACUCUUUAAGCAGUGGCAUUUAAGACUUGAGAACACCCAGAAACACGCCUGAGGCUUUAGGCAUUCUCAAUUCAAGCAAAUCUUGGAUAUCAGGUGAAAACGAAUAAAAGAAAGUAGAUGGGCGUACUCUGAUAACGCUUUAAACAAGUCAGGUAAGCUAAAUUGCAAAUAAACAGCAGGCUUUUUAAAGAGGAAGCCAAUUCCCCUUUCCUGGGACCACUCGGGUCAUCAGGUGUCUGAGCAGCAUAAAAUUACAUGGAGAAAAAUCUCCCGACCUACAAAGGGAGCAAAGGAUGACAGUGCAUUUCCCAAGGCUGUGGGGCAGGGCUUUUCUCUGGAUUUACUGCUCAUUUCUUACGGUGCAGUCAAAACAACCAUUUUACAACAGUUCUGGCUGUAACAAGUGUGUGUGAGCUGAAACAUACUGCACUGAUGCCCUGUGCCGUAAUCAUGUCCAUGCAGAGCUGCACGAUGCCUGGCAGCAACAAGAGAAGGAAGAAGGAAGGGCCUCUUGUUACUUCAGGAACAAGGAAGGUGGGGAUGGACGUUCAGACAGAGGGAAAGGACUGACCUGUGGGCUGCUGACCAGCUGUGCCUGCUGCUGAGCAUCGUGGAUCUGCACCUAUCAUCCGAUCCUGCUCAGUAACGCGAGCCACAUCACCAUGUGUGCCCUCUGCCAGGGGAGACUCGGAGCUGCUCGCCCCGUGAAGGCCAAGAGCUCUGGGAUCUCUGUAGCUGGUAGAGCCAGGACUGUGGGAAUGCAGCACCGAGCCCAGAGCUCAGCUUUUAGCUAUUUAUUUUGUUUUAAAAAAUGCUUUUGUAGUUUCGUCCGCUGCCUGUGGUCGGUUGUUUUGUUUUGUUUUCUUUUGUUUUGUUUUGUUUGCAGGCUGGACUUGGAGUUUUGCUGUUUGGGGAGAAAGGAGUUUUUGCCCAGCAGGGCAGAAUGAGCCUGUGUGGAUGCUGCUCAGUGAGAUAAAUUCUCUGCAUCCUGAAGAAUGUUGAGUGCAUUGAGAGCUACCUCUGAAAGAGCAGAGCUGUCUCCUGCAAGCACAGACCAGAUAGGUCUCCAGUUUUCUGGUGACCCUUCUGUUGCCUGCAGGCUGCAGCCAUUCUCAACACCGUAAAUACCUUCAGACAUCCGCUUCAAGCAUGCUUCCCUACCAAAAGCUGUGAUGAAGGGAAGAUUUUGCUUCCGUCUCCCAGCAAUGUUUCCCUUCUGCUCUUCUUCUCAAGCCAGUGCGACAAAAGGAGAGCCAGCCCUGGUUGUUCUCCAAGAGCUGAGUGGUGAGGAUGUCCCUCUGUGAUGUGUGGGGCAAUGCAUACCCUGGUAGCAGCAAACCUGUUGUUUCAUGGGCCGUAAACAAGAUCUUAUACAGCAAUCUUGUAUGAUGUAGCUCUCCCAGUAUUCUCACGGGGACUGAAAUGCUGUGAGAGCCUUCUGUGUGCUGGGUUGUGGCACUGGGUGGCACUGAUCUAUCGGGUGGCAAGCAGCCCACAGCAGGAGGGAUGGAACUGGAUGAUCUUUAAGGUCCCUUCCAACCUGAGCCAUGCAGUGACUCUACGUCUUGUUCAGAACUGACGUGUGGUUUUGCUUCAUUUCUGAGGAUGGUUCAAAGUGCUCUCCUUCCCAGAUGGAGACUCUGCCAUGCCUUUAAUUCUAAUCUUCUCCUUUCCUAUUUUUUUUUUAAUCACCCUUCACGGUUAAGCAUAUAAUUAACCAGUUGGAUAAAGUAGGUUUGUGGUGUCACAGAGUCACAAAGCUGAAGCUAGAGCUUCUGAAGUCCAAAUCAACUCCUUCAUCAUCAGACCUGCCUUCCUGCAGGCACGCCAGCACUUGCAGCGUGGCCCAGAACCUCUCGCCUUUGAACUUCCCAGCUUUAGGCUGCUGACUCAGUGUCUGUGCGUGAUGGAAGCAGUGAAGGGGGAAACAGGUAAUUGCUUAGGGAGGAAAAAGCCAAAAAUGAAACCGUGCCUUGCUGCCGUUGACACAAGCUCUGCUCUUGCUCAGGUGCCUUUGGGUAAUAGAUUUUUGGGAGAGAAUGUGGUGGGCUUUGAUUCUGCUUACAGGUGUUGUCUCAGAACCGAAGAAGACAGAGCAGGUAACAGUAAGUAAGAACACUUCUACCUUGAGAAUAAACCCAGAGAACACCUCACUCCUUAGCUCACUUCAUCAGUAAUAAAACGGUCCUGUUGCAUUGCAGUGAAGUAGGUCCUGCUAGAAAGUUAUUGUCAGGAAGGACUGGAAGUACUUGUAGUUCCUUCCUUCCCAUCUGCCUGUUUCAGAAGGACUAAACUUGUAGGGUACUUGGAGUGAACUGCGUUGACCUGACAAAUGUGUUGCACUAACAUGGAUUGCUUUGCACUAGAGUAAGCUUGAGUGAAGACCUUACUGCACUGAGCAUGAUUUAGCCAAGUGUGAUGGAUUUGUGUUUACGUGUUCGUGUGUGUUUAUAACCACAUGCAUGACUAUAAACGUACAUGGGAUAUUGAGAUGAAGUAGGACAGAACUAACAAAGCCAAUAUAACCUGCAGCCUCAUUUAGAUGGCCAUGGAGAGGCAGCCUUUCUUCCUGAAGUGAUUUUUCUCAUCACAUGUCUGUGGGAAGCUGAUGCUCUCAUACACAUUCGCUACAAAAGCGUAUUUGAUGAGUACUUUCUAUGAAUGACCCUUGAUCUGCUCAUGGUAAGCACUUAGUCACCAGGCAGGUGGUGCAAAUGAGCCCCACCAGCCUCCUGUGGCUGGAGAUGGAAGCCACAAGCCGUGCCCGUGUUCUCCACCUCCAGGCAGAUGGGAAUCCCUACAAGGAUUUCUCUUCUCUAAUUUCAGGAGAGGACGUUCACAGCCAUGAGUCUGAAAUUCAUAGGUGUGCUGACAUUUCCAGGCACUUAGGAUAAUGCUCACUGCUAAACUCCUCUGCUGCUGCUGAAAGCCAAGUAGAACGUGUUUAGAGCAAACUCAUCUAGCAAAUUCAAGCAUGUCCUCCUAGAAUUAUUUUUGCAGCAGUUGUCCUGCUCUGCUUAUUUAUGCCUUGUGCUAGCAUUUGAAAUCAUUAAAGCCAUAAUUAAUUAAUCAUUAAUAUCAGUGCUGGAGACUCUGAAGUGGUGUGGAUGCUGAGGGAGAUGCCAGCACUGUGGUGUUCUCAAAAUGUAUUUGUGGCUCAACCAGUCUGAAAUCAGCCUUCUUCUCUUAUGGCCUUACAGUGUUCCUUAGGAAAACGAUGGUUUUGUGGAUGCUCAUCUCUGGAGGUGAUCAAGGCCAGGUUGGGAGGCCCUGGGCAGCCUCAUCUGGUGUCUGUGUAGUUUAUGGCAACCCUUCCAUGUAGUAUGGGGGCUGGAACUGGAUGGUCUUUGGUGGUGAUGGGUUGGCAGCUGGACCUCAAAGAUCACCUUAGAAGUCUUUUCCAGCCUUAAUGAUUGUAUGAUCCUGCGAAUACAUCCCUCACCUUCUGGAGGUCCCUCUUGCAUCUCAAGGAUGAGGCUUUGAUUGAAUGGGAAGCAAAUGUAGGCUAAAAGCAAUGAUUAUUUCCAGAACGUGCAUGAGAAUAUGGAUUUUCCUCUUGUAACAGUGAUCAAUCAGCGUACAAACGAUUUUACAACACAUGGCUUCAGUCACAGAUUCACAUUGUUGGGGUUGGAAGGGGCCCUUAAAGGUCGUCAUGUUCAACUCCUCUGCAGUGCACAGGGACACCCACAGCUCC